Mastomys coucha (southern multimammate mouse) is the source of this 133-nucleotide small nucleolar RNA. RefSeq annotates it as small nucleolar RNA SNORA17. The transcript has a single exon. NCBI's taxonomy places the organism in Eukaryota, Metazoa, Chordata, Mammalia, Rodentia, Muridae. The record is from RefSeq and is a predicted model, not a curated record.
CCUGCCCCUGGAGGCCUCGCAGGUGUGGCUGCUGUGUCACAGCAGUGUCAGUAGGUGGCAGAGAGGAGAGCGGCUAUGUUUCUGCUCAGUGUUCUGAACAUAUGAGCAUCUGAAAGAUUAGUAACCUAGUAUU